AAAUUGAAGAGUUUGAUCAUGGCUCAGAUUGAACGCUGGUGGCAGGCCUAACACAUGCAAGUCGAACGGUAACAGGAAGCAGCUUGCUGCUUUGCUGACGAGUGGCGGACGGGUGAGUAAUGUCUGGGAAACUGCCUGAUGGAGGGGGAUAACUACUGGAAACGGUGGCUAAUACCGCAUAAUGUCGCAAGACCAAAGAGGGGGACCUUCGGGCCUCUUGCCAUCAGAUGUGCCCAGAUGGGAUUAGCUUGUUGGUGAGGUAACGGCUCACCAAGGCGACGAUCCCUAGCUGGUCUGAGAGGAUGACCAGCCACACUGGAACUGAGACACGGUCCAGACUCCUACGGGAGGCAGCAGUGGGGAAUAUUGCACAAUGGGCGCAAGCCUGAUGCAGCCAUGCCGCGUGUAUGAAGAAGGCCUUCGGGUUGUAAAGUACUUUCAGCGGGGAGGAAGGUGUUGUGGUUAAUAACCGCAGCAAUUGACGUUACCCGCAGAAGAAGCACCGGCUAACUCCGUGCCAGCAGCCGCGGUAAUACGGAGGGUGCAAGCGUUAAUCGGAAUUACUGGGCGUAAAGCGCACGCAGGCGGUCUGUCAAGUCGGAUGUGAAAUCCCCGGGCUCAACCUGGGAACUGCAUUCGAAACUGGCAGGCUUGAGUCUUGUAGAGGGGGGUAGAAUUCCAGGUGUAGCGGUGAAAUGCGUAGAGAUCUGGAGGAAUACCGGUGGCGAAGGCGGCCCCCUGGACAAAGACUGACGCUCAGGUGCGAAAGCGUGGGGAGCAAACAGGAUUAGAUACCCUGGUAGUCCACGCCGUAAACGAUGUCUACUUGGAGGUUGUGCCCUUGAGGCGUGGCUUCCGGAGCUAACGCGUUAAGUAGACCGCCUGGGGAGUACGGCCGCAAGGUUAAAACUCAAAUGAAUUGACGGGGGCCCGCACAAGCGGUGGAGCAUGUGGUUUAAUUCGAUGCAACGCGAAGAACCUUACCUGGUCUUGACAUCCACGGAAGUUUUCAGAGAUGAGAAUGUGCCUUCGGGAACCGUGAGACAGGUGCUGCAUGGCUGUCGUCAGCUCGUGUUGUGAAAUGUUGGGUUAAGUCCCGCAACGAGCGCAACCCUUAUCCUUUGUUGCCAGCGGUCCGGCCGGGAACUCAAAGGAGACUGCCAGUGAUAAACUGGAGGAAGGUGGGGAUGACGUCAAGUCAUCAUGGCCCUUACGACCAGGGCUACACACGUGCUACAAUGGCGCAUACAAAGAGAAGCGACCUCGCGAGAGCAAGCGGACCUCAUAAAGUGCGUCGUAGUCCGGAUUGGAGUCUGCAACUCGACUCCAUGAAGUCGGAAUCGCUAGUAAUCGUGGAUCAGAAUGCCACGGUGAAUACGUUCCCGGGCCUUGUACACACCGCCCGUCACACCAUGGGAGUGGGUUGCAAAAGAAGUAGGUAGCUUAACCUUCGGGAGGGCGCUUACCACUUUGUGAUUCAUGACUGGGGUGAAGUCGUAACAAGGUAACCGUAGGGGAACCUGCGGUUGGAUCACCUCCUUA
RNAcentral lists this ribosomal RNA (1542 nucleotides) under Salmonella enterica subsp. enterica serovar Minnesota. RNAcentral describes it as "bacterial SSU rRNA". It matches the Rfam family "Bacterial small subunit ribosomal RNA". The record is from RNAcentral. Lineage: Bacteria; Pseudomonadati; Pseudomonadota; Gammaproteobacteria; Enterobacterales; Enterobacteriaceae.